This 342-nucleotide unclassified non-coding RNA is filed under the name soil metagenome. RNAcentral describes it as "partial contains 5.8S ribosomal RNA, internal transcribed spacer 2, and large subunit ribosomal RNA". The stretch from base 1 to 120 matches the Rfam family "5.8S ribosomal RNA", at positions 35 to 154 of the family's 154-position model. The record is from RNAcentral.
GAUGAAGAACGCAGUGAAAUGCGAUAAGUAAUGUGAAUUGCAGAAUUCAGUGAAUCAUCGAAUCUUUGAACGCACAUUGCGCCCGCCAGCACUCUGGCGGGCAUGCCUGUUCGAGCGUCAUUUCAACCAUCAAGCCCCCAGGGGCUUGUGCUUGGGCCCUGCGGCUGCCCGCAGGCCCUGAAAACCAGUGGCGGGCUCGCUAGUCACACCGAGCGCAGUAGCACAUCUCGCUCAGGGCGUGCGGCGGGCUCCUGCCGUGAAACCCCCCACUGUAACCCCAAAGGUUGACCUCGGAUCAGGUAGGAAUACCCGCUGAACUUAAGCAUAUCAAUAAGCGGAGGA